Molecule: ribosomal RNA, 524 nt
Filed under: uncultured bacterium
Lineage: Bacteria
Description: partial 16S ribosomal RNA
Rfam family: Bacterial small subunit ribosomal RNA
Source: RNAcentral
GACGAACGCUGGCGGCGUGCCUAAUACAUGCAAGUCGAACGAAGCUGUUUUAACUGGUGCUUGCACCGACUUAAACAACUGAGUGGCGAACGGGUGAGUAACACGUGGGUAACCUGCCCCAAAGCGGGGGAUAACAUUUGGAAACAGAUGCUAAUACCGCAUAAUCACAGAAACCACAUGGUUUCUGUGUCAAAGAUGGUUUCGGCUAUCACUUUGGGAUGGACCCGCGGCGUAUUAGCUAGUUGGUAAGGUAAUGGCUUACCAAGGGGAGGAUACGUAGCCGAACUGAGAGGUUGAUCGGCCACAUUGGGACUGAGACACGGCCCAAACUCCUACGGGAGGCAGCAGUAGGGAAUCUUCCACAAUGGACGAAAGUCUGAUGGAGCAACGCCGCGUGAGUGAAGAAGGUUUUCGGAUCGUAAAACUCUGUUGUCAGAGAAGAACGUGUGCGAGAGUAACUGUUCGUGCAGUGACGGUAUCUGGCCAGAAAGCCACGGCUAACUACGUGCCAGCAGCCGCCGUAA